GAGAUCCUUGGUGGAGUUAGAAGGUGGAGCAAUAACUUUCUUGGCAGAGUAAAGAGUCAAAGUGACAACAUCAUUAGCAGAGUCAAGGGGCAGAGCAAACAUAUCCUGGGUGUAGUCAGGAGGUGAAGAGACAACAGCCUUGGUGGAGACAGGAGGUGGAGCAAAGAUGUCCUUGGGGGAGUCAGGAGGUGGAGCAAUGGUGUCAGUGGCAGAAUCAGGAGGUGUAGUUAUAAUGUCCUUGGCAGAGUCAGGAGGUGUAGAUAUGAUGUCAGGAGGUGUAGUUAUAAUGUCCUUGAUGGAGUCAGGAGGUGUAGUUAUAAUGUCCUUGUUGUAGUCAGGAGGUGUAGUUAUAAUGUCCUUGAUGGAGUCAGGAGGUGUAGUUAUAAUGUCCUUGGGGGAGUCAGGAGGUGUAGUUAUAAUGUCCUUGGGGGAGUCAGGAGGUGUAGUUAUAAUGUCCUUGAUGGAGUCAGGAGGUGUAGUUAUAAUGUCC
Long non-coding RNA from Ictalurus punctatus (channel catfish), 490 nucleotides. The record is from Ensembl. Lineage: Eukaryota; Metazoa; Chordata; Actinopteri; Siluriformes; Ictaluridae.